RNAcentral lists this long non-coding RNA (529 nucleotides) under Naja naja (Indian cobra). Its description in RNAcentral is "lncRNA (ENSNNAG00000003475.1)". Lineage: Eukaryota; Metazoa; Chordata; Lepidosauria; Squamata; Elapidae. The record is from RNAcentral.
GCGCGCCCCGUUGCACGCGCUUUCCACUUACAGGAGCAGAGAGAGAGAGAGAUGCUUCAGGCAAAGGGGGGGGGUCUUGAAGACACCCACCCAUCCACAAAAUUAAUUCCGCUCCUGGGAAGGUGUCUUACAUUGGCCAGGACUGCAAAGCAAUUCCAGAAUUCCUUGGGACAAAAUACGGACACAUCGCAAAAAGGCUGGACCUCAGCUUCAAUUUAUUAAGAUGUUUAUUGUGGACCAACUGAAAUUAUGGAUUGGAUUGAGACAGACCUAUCUCUUCUUGAAAGUCUGAAGUGAUGAAGCUACCACAACUUCCAAAGGCAACUUCUUUUCCAUUGGUUGACUGUUCUAGUAUUUUACCUGAUCAUUCUCAUAUUCUCCCCUCCAUUGUCUUUCUUGAUAUGUGUUGGAUCUGAGGAUUUAGAAAGCUGUUGCUUCUCAGAUUCAAGUUUUUGUCUCUCCCUACAAUUCUAUGAAUUGAGUAAAAAGUUAACCAAGGUGUAGUCAUUUGUAUUACAGUCCCAGGCCA